CCCUUCACAAUUGUGAUGGAAUGCUAGGGUUCACACCCUUUAAGUUUGACUUUUUCUGUUAACCAUUUUAUUAAUCUCUAAAAACCAAGCAUAGCUCCGCUUUCCUCGUUGCAUGUUUUCCUCAGACUAAUCAGUUUCCUUCUCCAGAAUGUGGCAACCUUAUUGAAAAGUCUUCCCAGCCCUAUCAACAUAUAUCUCUAGGAUGAUGAAAGAAGACUUUCUCCACCCUUUCACCGCCACAAUCUUCAUAUAUCACCAAUCUAUCUUCAGUCUGUUGAAGUUUGAAAGAGAUUAUGAAUAUUCCAUGCUCCUUCAGAGGACCAGCAUAACAUUCUACAUACCUCCCGUAAGCUCGCCCUAUCCUUCUUUAAUCUACUCAUGAAAUUUCCUGAAAUAACUCAUUUUUUUUAAAUAAGGGUUUGUUUGGUAAUUUUUGCCAAAAGAAAUUAAAAAGAAAAUAGAAAAGAAGGAAUUUAGUGGGCCAAGCCCAAAAAGGAAAAGGAAAAAAAAAAUAAAAAGGAAGGGCUGAAGCCCAAAUUUGAAAGAAAAGACAAGAAUGAUUUAAAAAGAGAAAUGAAGCCUAUGUAACAGAAGCAGAAAAGGCAGAAGCAGCAGAAAAUACGCAGAGAAAGAAAAGAAAAGGGAGGGAGAAAAAGAGAGGAAAAGAAAAGAGAAAAAUAGGGAUUUUCAACCCUAAUCAUCAAGGUAAUGCUUCUAAUCUUUUAUUUAAGUUUAUUAAGUAAUUAUGGGUGAAUUUUUGUGGAAAAAACAUGGGGAUAUUUUGAGGAAUUCAGAAAGUUUAGCUCUAGCGUUGUCAACCAAAAUCAUUGAUUUGAAAGGGCAAAUAGCGUCGGAUUUUAGACUUCUAUAUAUCGUUGGAAUCCUCUCGUUAAGGCCUUUCCGAAAACAUAAGUCUUGUCGGGUUUUGAACACAUUGACCAGAGGGCAUUUUCGUCUUUUAAAAUUUGACUUUAACCGUUUAAGCCUCUAAAAAUAUAGAAGUGGUUUACCCUAAGGGUUUCGACCAUUCUAAAUCCGUUUUUGUGUAGUUUGAGGCAAUCCAGAGACUCGAGAACGUAGUUUUGAUUUAUUGGGAAGUGUGCUUGAAUUGUGAAUUUGAGAUACUGUCGUUGAGAACGAGGCUGGUAAUUGAAGACUUCGUGAGUGGAUUCUGUUGCUGAGGUGAGCCACCGCAUUGUUCCUGGAGGCAGCCAUUUCAGCUUUAUCUAGUUUAUUUCUAGUUAUUUCUUUUAUUUUGGGUUUACAUGCCCGACACUCAAACUCAUGUAACUCUGUUAGAUGCUCCAUGGUCUUAGCGUGGGAUGUGGGCUAGAGAUUCUUUUUAUCUUAGCGUUGAUUGGUUUUCAUAAAUCGAUUAUGGAUUUGGUUGGCGACUAUUUCGCAUUUUUAUCAUUAAUAACGUUGUUGGA
Molecule: long non-coding RNA, 1430 nt
Organism: Lycium barbarum (goji berry)
Lineage: Eukaryota; Viridiplantae; Streptophyta; Magnoliopsida; Solanales; Solanaceae
Exons: 2
Source: RefSeq, a predicted model, not a curated record